UACAGAGACUGCAAGCGUUAUUCGGAUUCACUGGGCGUAAAGGGUGCGCAGGCGGCCGAGUGUGUGAGGCGUGAAAGCCCGGGGCUUAACCCCGGAAUUGCACCUCAAACUACACGGCUAGAGCAUUGGAGAGGGUAGCAGAAUUCAUGGUGUAGCAGUGAAAUGCGUAGAUAUCAUGAGGAAUACCAGAGGCGAAGGCGGCUACCUGGACAAUUGCUGACGCUCAGGCACGAAAGCGUGGGGAGCAAAAGGGAUUAGAUACCCCUGUAGUCCACGCCCUAAACGGUGCACACUAGGUCUUGGCGGAUUCGACCCCCCCAGGGCCCAAGCUAACGCGUUAAGUGUGCCGCCUGAGGACUACGGCCGCAAGGCUAAA
This 376-nucleotide ribosomal RNA is filed under the name uncultured bacterium. Its description in RNAcentral is "bacterial SSU rRNA". It matches the Rfam family "Bacterial small subunit ribosomal RNA", at positions 524 to 898 of the family's 1533-position model. The record is from RNAcentral.